GGGAGUAAUCCCUUGCCUAAUGUAGCCGUGGACGGUCACAAGCCCGUGUAAAUACAGAGUGGGUA
RNAcentral lists this non-coding RNA (65 nucleotides) under unclassified sequences. The record is from RNAcentral.